GCUACACAUGCAGUCGAGCGGUACAGAAAGUAGCUUGCUACUUUGCUGACGAGCGGCGGACGGGUGAGUAAUGCUUGGGAACAUGCCUUGAGGUGGGGGACAACAGUUGGAAACGACUGCUAAUACCGCAUAAUGUCUACGGACCAAAGGGGGCUUCGGCUCUCGCCUUUAGAUUGGCCCAAGUGGGAUUAGCUAGUUGGUGAGGUAAUGGCUCACCAAGGCGACGAUCCCUAGCUGGUUUGAGAGGAUGAUCAGCCACACUGGGACUGAGACACGGCCCAGACUCCUACGGGAGGCAGCAGUGGGGAAUAUUGCACAAUGGGCGCAAGCCUGAUGCAGCCAUGCCGCGUGUGUGAAGAAGGCCUUCGGGUUGUAAAGCACUUUCAGUCAGGAGGAAAGGUUAGUAGUUAAUACCUGCUAGCUGUGACGUUACUGACAGAAGAAGCACCGGCUAACUCCGUGCCAGCAGCCGCGGUAAUACGGAGGGUGCGAGCGUUAAUCGGAAUUACUGGCGUAAAGCGUACGCAGGCGGUUGUUAAGCGAGAUGUGAAAGCCCCGGGCUCAACUG
RNAcentral lists this ribosomal RNA (568 nucleotides) under bacterium fme09x26p188. RNAcentral describes it as "bacterial SSU rRNA". It matches the Rfam family "Bacterial small subunit ribosomal RNA", at positions 48 to 615 of the family's 1533-position model. The record is from RNAcentral.